Long non-coding RNA from Lycium barbarum (goji berry), 1589 nucleotides. RefSeq lists it as uncharacterized. NCBI's taxonomy places the organism in Eukaryota, Viridiplantae, Streptophyta, Magnoliopsida, Solanales, Solanaceae. The record is from RefSeq and is a predicted model, not a curated record. The transcript has 4 exons.
CAAGAGUCGCCACCAGUGUUAUAUCCCGUGUUUUCGCACAUUUGGAAAAUUUGAAAUAAUUUUGACUUGUAAGAAAUGAGGUCAUAAUUGAUUUUAUUUAGCACAUGAGUUGUUUAUGAAAGAAUAUUAAUGUGGAAGUGUUGAAGAAGGCCAAGGGCAAAAUUGAAAUUUCGAAAAUUAGUUUCGGGAAUUAUAAAACAAGAUUUAUAACCAAUUGAGCUCAAAAAUAAAAAAUAAAAUAAAAAAGAAAAACAAGGCCCAAAUUUGGCAUGGGGUGGCCGGCCAUGGUAGGCCCAAACCCAUGGAAAUUUUCCAUGUGUUAAUUAAUAAAAGGGUGACUAGGUCAUUGAAGCUUCAAGACAUUUCAAGAAAGGGAAUACAAAGCCAAGGAAAGCAAGAAAAAAACAAGGCCAUUCGGCCAUUGCUCAAAUUUUUGCCCCUCAAAAAUCUUGUUCCAAAAAUUGUUUUCUUGUGGUAUUUCUACUAAUUCAAGGACCCUCUACAACGUGGUGUAGUUAUUUCGGAAGAUAGAGCUCUUGGUUCAUCCAUUUAACAAGUGGGUUUAGUGAAGAAGUUUGGAAGAAAAAGAUUUUGAAGAAAACGGGAAUUGAAUUUGGGCUGGCGUAAAUGACGAAAAAGGCUUUACAUAUUCAGUACAAAUUUCGUACUGACCCCCUUUCUUUGGGGGCUGCGUUUUCAUGCCGGGCAGGUUCAGAAGACAUAUUUGCCGAUCCGCCUGCUUAGGACUAUAUUCUGCUAUCUUGGAGUGCUCUAUUGUUCGGAGCCUACGUUUGGUACAGUCUUUUGCCAUUGUACAUAUGUAUGCUAUUCAGGGGUACGACGGGGCCCUGUCCCGUCUUAUGAUUCUGAUGUGUUCUGUAGAGGUCUGUAGACAUACAUGUGGGUUUUGUAUAUAUUUUGGGUUGAUAUGAUCCGUGAUAGCCUUAUCGGCUUCCACGUGCUAUAUCUGUUCAUCUGUGAUAGUUAGUGACGCCAUUGGACUUUUAUAUUUAUAUAUUCUGCUAAUAUGCCGGUUUGGGUUAUGGGGUACGUCCGGGUGUCCAGCACGGACACUAGUUGCGGCCUACGGGGUUGGGUCGUGACAACCAGAUGCCGCCAGCUCAGGUGACUGAAGGCCUUGAUCGUUGAAAAGAAAUGGAGGGAUGUGGGGAUUUUGUGCAAUGUCUUUUACCAGACAUGUCUAUAAAGAUCCUAAUGUUAACUAUAGAAGUUCUCUGUGAGUAGAGGGAUGCGGGGAUUUUGUGCAAUGGCUUUUACCAAACUGAUGGGUUGAGCCAAGGGCUGAGCGAAAUUGGCUGACAUAGAUCAUGCUUUUGGAUUCUAAUUCCGCUAUGUUUAAAUGGAUAUGUAUAUUAUGUUUAAGAGGUUGAAUGUAGUUUUAAUUCGAAUUAGAAGUACUUUUAACUUUAAGAUGUUUAAGUGUUUGAAUGUAGUUUAUGAUGUUUAAGUGUGUGAAUGUAGUUUAUCAUGUUUAAGUGUUUGAAUGUAGUUUUAAUUUUAAGUACUUUGAGGUUGAAUUUGAUUGUUUAUAAGUGUUUGAAUGGACAAUGUUUAAGUGUUCAAGUGUU